CUGAAGUCCAGCAUCAGGAACAGCCUCAAGCUGGUGGCCCAGCCCAAGAAGCUGCUGCUGAGCCCGUAGAGACUGGAGCCAAGCCUGGAAGGGCGAACCAAGGAACUCAGACUGUGGAGCAGCAACCUGUGAUCCAUUCGGUUAACCACAUGUUCUUUUUACUCGCGAAAAUGGUGCCUUUAAAGCAAACUAAGAGCAGGGAAG
This 204-nucleotide unclassified non-coding RNA is filed under the name Hevea brasiliensis (rubber tree). Lineage: Eukaryota; Viridiplantae; Streptophyta; Magnoliopsida; Malpighiales; Euphorbiaceae. The record is from RNAcentral.